RNAcentral lists this RNase P RNA (374 nucleotides) under Halobacillus salinus. RNAcentral describes it as "Bacterial RNase P class B". It matches the Rfam family "Bacterial RNase P class B". Rfam says of the family: Ribonuclease P (RNase P) is a ubiquitous endoribonuclease, found in archaea, bacteria and eukarya as well as chloroplasts and mitochondria. The record is from Rfam by way of RNAcentral. Lineage: Bacteria; Bacillati; Bacillota; Bacilli; Caryophanales; Bacillaceae.
AUACUUGGGUAAUCGCUGUAUGACUUUAUCAUACAGAGGAAAGUCCAUGCUCACACAAGCUGAGAUGCUUGUAGUGUUCGUGCCUGACGAAACCAUAAGUCAGGGUAGCAAUAGCUAACGGCAGGGAAAAUUCCUACGUCUUCAUGAUAUGGAAUGAAUACCUUGAAAGUGCCACAGUGACGGAGCCAAAAUAGAAAUAUUUUGGGUGGAACGAGGUAAACCCCACGAGUGAGCAACCCAAAUAUAGGUAGGGGCACUCUUCUAUGGGAAAUGAACCGAUGAAGAGGUCGUUUAUCGACAGAUAGAUGAUUACCACCGGAGUACGAGGUUGACCGCCGCUUGCAGUACAAUGGAACAGAACAUGGCUUACAAAG